AACACGUGAGUAACCUGCUUUCGANANNGGGAUAGCCAUGGGAAACCGUGAUUAAUACCAGAUGAAAUCUAAGCUACACAUGUAGCAAAGAUCAANGCGAAUAAGCGGUCAAAGAUGGACUCGCGUCUGAUUAGCUAGUUGGUGAGAUAAAAGCUCACCAAGGCGACGAUCAGUAGCCGGCCUGAGAGGGUGAACGGCCACAUUGGAACUGAGACACGGUCCAAACUCCUACGGGAGGCAGCAGUGGGGAAUAUUGCACAAUGGGGGGAACCCUNAUGCAGCGACGCCGCGUGAGCGAAGAAGGGAUUCGUUUCGUAAAGCUCUGUCCUNUGGGAAGAUAAUGACGGUACCAUAGAAGAAAGCCCCGGCUAACUACGUGCCAGCAGCCGCGGUAAUACGUAGGGGGCGAGCGUUGUCCGGAAUCACUGGGCGUAAAGGGUUCGCAGGCGGAUAAACAAGUCAAGAGUAAAAGGCAUGGGCUUAACCCAUGUAAGCUAUUGAAACUGUUUAUCUUGAGAUGUGGAGAGGUAAGUGGAAUUACUAGUGUAGCGGUGAAAUGCGUAGAUAUUUAGUNNGGAAUACCAGUAGCGAAGGNGACUUACUGGACACAAACUGACGCUGAGNAAACGAAAGNGUGGGUAGCAACAGGAUUUAGAUACCCUGGNANCCACNCUGUNAACGAUGAGUGCUAGGUGUCGGCNAAAGUCGGUGCCGCAGU
RNAcentral lists this ribosomal RNA (718 nucleotides) under uncultured bacterium. RNAcentral describes it as "partial 16S ribosomal RNA". It matches the Rfam family "Bacterial small subunit ribosomal RNA", at positions 112 to 852 of the family's 1533-position model. The record is from RNAcentral.